GAGGAAAGAGGGGGGCGUGCCUAAUACAUGCAAGUCGAGCGAACAGACGAGGAGCUUGCUCCUCUGACGUUAGCGGCGGACGGGUGAGUAACACGUGGAUAACCUACCUAUAAGACUGGGAUAACUUCGGGAAACCGGAGCUAAUACCGGAUAAUAUAUUGAACCGCAUGGUUCAAUAGUGAAAGACGGUUUUGCUGUCACUUAUAGAUGGAUCCGCGCCGCAUUAGCUAGUUGGUAAGGUAACGGCUUACCAAGGCGACGAUGCGUAGCCGACCUGAGAGGGUGAUCGGCCACACUGGAACUGAGACACGGUCCAGACUCCUACGGGAGGCAGCAGUAGGGAAUCUUCCGCAAUGGGCGAAAGCCUGACGGAGCAACGCCGCGUGAGUGAUGAAGGUCUUCGGAUCGUAAAACUCUGUUAUUAGGGAAGAACAAAUGUGUAAGUAACUAUGCACGUCUUGACGGUACCUAAUCAGAAAGCCACGGCUAACUACGUG
RNAcentral lists this ribosomal RNA (497 nucleotides) under uncultured bacterium. Its description in RNAcentral is "partial 16S ribosomal RNA". It matches the Rfam family "Bacterial small subunit ribosomal RNA", at positions 28 to 507 of the family's 1533-position model. The record is from RNAcentral.